AAUACGUUUGUACGAACGUCUCUCGACAUUAUUUAUAUCUAUUAAUUUAUUUAAUUAUUUUAAAUAUAUUUGAGAGGUUGCAACAGCAAGUUCUCGUUAUCCUAUAUUAUAAUCCUCUACAAGUCCUCUACAGGAUUAAAGAUAUUUUUCCACGAUCCAAAUCAUUCAGAUCGAAACGUCUUAAAGUUACAGAAAGCAACGACAAACAUAUACCUUGAUCGAACAACUUGCGAUAUUUUUCUGUUAACAAGCUUUGAAUUUUACUUUGAAAUAUUUGUAUCACUCAUUUAUAUCAUUGAUUUUUCUCUAACGAUUUUAUUUCGUCCCUUAACAUUUCCUACCUUUCAUUAAUAAUUUACUGGAGCGCUGUUACAUUGCCGAAUAAAAUACUGUUUGUUACGUCACGAGGCUUACCACUGGCUGUAUUUUCUAACCGUCGCUCGCGGUCCUACAGCGUUGCAGGCAGACCGUCUUAUCUGCCCGCCGGAUCAUAUACAAUGUAUCGACGAGAGCAUAGUUGUCGCCAAGCAGCGAGCUCUAGAAACUUCGAUUUUUGACCGUUACGUUUUUCACACAAGAAGAGGCAUACGUGAUCAUAGACGCGAGCGGUGGCGUGACCCGAGCAUAGUGGGGGUCGUCUUCCAAAUGAGACAAAGGAAUAAUCGAAGGGCGUUCAGUUCCUUCUGACGAGUCUAACGUGACACUUCGACAAAUCUGACGAGCAAACGAAUUUAUCUAGAGAUAUCGCAAAGUCGAGUCAAAUUUCUGUAACAGAUUCAUCAUAUUAUUGUAAAAUAUAUUAUUCUAUGUUAACCUGUUAAUACAGUGUUACAUUCAUUAAACCACCUCUGUUAUCUUAACCGAAACAGGGGAACGACUAUUUCGCGGCGUCGAUUAACAUAAUCGUAGCGAGAAUUUACGCCUCUCGCUGAUGCGUUUUCCUAGCGACCGCGUCUCUCCGCGAACGGUCGUAACACUGUUAUAAGUAAAUAACAAAUAGUAAUAAUUCUAUAUGAAAUAAUACCAAUAGUAAUAACAAGAUAAAUAAACCAACAUUGGACUGUUAGCAGAAUAAAUUCAGCGUCAAAUCAAAUCUUGCAAUUCGGAGAAAUUGUUCUUAUUCGGACCGACAAUAUUCGAGAUCCAAAUAUUUGAUAUUUCAACUGCAACCAAAAGUCAAUGCAAAUGGCUGUAAGGUUAACGCAUGCAAAUUAAUUCUACAAUCAUGAACAUUCGAUGCAUCCUAAUUUCCUUCCACCUUACUUCGAUAACAAUCGUCUUCGCUUUGGUCCAUCUUCAAAAUACAUAGUCUUCGGUAUACCAGAUAUCAAUCUGGUUUCUUCGUACUUUCUUUCGAUUCGCUGUUACUUUUCUCUUUUUUCGAACGUGCGCGUAUCAGAUUCGUUAAAAUUUCCGAUCCUAGGUCAAUGAUUUUUCAUUUAUCGCAUACCCUUUCUAUAUACCGUUUUCUAGUAUCCACUCGCAGCGAACUGUGUUUGCUGCGUUACGGUAUAGUGAUUUAUUUACGGUGCAUCGAUAAUGCUGGAAAAAGGAACAUCAGGCGAAUAUAUAAGAGCGAGUAUGCGUCUCGCUUCGCUUCGAUGGCUUUCGUAUUUUUCCUCUGUUAUUACGGACCACUUCACUCUAAUCGAAGCCUUAUUUCGUAGCGAACAAUACGCGGAAUAUAAAACUGCGGGUGCAGAACACGAUGCAUGUGUUGAGAAAAAUAUUAGGUUGGUAUGAUCACUAGUUCCUACAUGCAAAGUUGGUACGACUUCUAACGACUCUCUUUUGUUUUGGCGUCCGCCAUGUGUUAAUUAUCUGAGUGUAUCCGGUGUGUUCAUAUGGCUGGUGAUGAAAUACAGAAUAUAAAAACUGAAUCUGUGCGAAUCAAUAAAAUAUCGAACUCCAAAACCUAUUUAAUAACAGCAUGGAAUGGAUAUUGUACAGAUCGUUUCAAAGAGUAGAUAUGGCUAUAGUUUAUAGACGAAUAUGAAUAUGCUAUGUACGUAUUUAUGCGUCAGGUUGCCUUGUAAAUUGAUGUAGAUUCUGCUGCUCUUGUUAAAAGUACACGAAUCGUAAGGAAUGUUCUAUGCAGGUAGAAUUUAGAAGAAUUUCAUUUGCUAUCCGCGUGACAAGAAAUUGUACGAAAAUCUAAUGGCUGGUAAGAUUUGGAUUUAUCGUAACAAGAAGCGUGAACAAAUUGAGAGUUUUGUUAUUGUUAAAGAUAUGCUCGCCAGGGACUGACACGUGUGUCCAAGAAUGAAUUUUUUUAUUUAAUUUAAUCUACAGCAGAUAUCGUAAGAUGUACGUAAGAGAUGUAGCACAUGCAGAUGGACGGCUUGGUGUGUGAUUACCGACAAUCAUUUCGCCGACAAAAUUUACAUCGACACCAGUUUGACUGACACCAGUUUCACCCACAUUGUUUAUUCGCCGACAUGUACAAAUCACCGACAAUGUUUUCGUCGCGUUCGUUUCACCGGCACAGAAUUUUAAUUUAUAUACAGGGUGUUCACUGUUCACGUUGUUAGAUCGUUUUUCUCGUAAACGAUAAGAGGAAUGAAUGAAUGGUUCAAAACGAACAACAUAUUCACAGUAUUUUUUUCGCAAGCGUAAAGAUCUGUGUACGUUUUGCAUACGUCGAAUCCUCUCGUCAUUUUAUGAAAAAACCUACAGUGUUGCGGAUAUUUGUAGACUGAAACACAUUUUCUGCGUUGUUGCUACAAGACUGAUAGAAGAAAUAAGAGACAAAGUGGAAACUUACAAGAAAAUUAACACUGAGUUUACACUUUUUCACAGUCAAAGAUUCAGUCUCGCUAUCGUGAAAAAUCUAAAAAUGGACUUGAGUUUAUAAUUAUUCACGACACUGUAUGUAUUAGAGAAAUAUUGACUGCGAUCGAUUAGUUUGGAAGAUGUUUUCACUCCAAUUUUGUCGCAUACCAUAUGAAAAAGAAGGAAAGACGAAGUACUUUUGUAUUUAUGUUUCCUUUGUCUUACAUACAAUAAAUUUUACAAAAUUGAAAAUACAAAAAAAGAGAAAGAGAAAAUUCUACAAAGUUAAAAUAUCAAAAUUAAACCGAUCAGUUUUCGACUCUGUUGCUCUAAUAUCUUUUUUAAGGUUUCCAUCAAAGAAGAAGGUUUCUAUUUAAAAAAAAAAAAAAAAAAAAAAAAAAUGCAACUGCGUAAGACACACGCGUUUUUUGCACUUGCGUGAAAGAUAUUAUCGCGAAUAUGUAGUUCACCUUGAACCAUUCAUCAUUUUCCUCUUUCAUUUUUCCUCUUAAUUUCACUUAUUGUUUAGGAGAAAAACAUUGGGAGCUAAUCAAUCUUGAACAGUGAACACACUUUAUAUAUUUGUAUAUUUUCGAAUAUCAUAAAAAAUUAACGAAUCUGUCAAAGAAAAAGAUAGUUUUAUCGCGUGACUUUGUUGAUUAUAUAUAAGAGAAAAAAUAAAAGGAAAUACGGUAAAAGAACGAUAAGAUAGUAAUAUAGUUACCAAUGAUCACACAUCAAUCUUAAAUGUAUAAAUACGAGAAAUGAAAUAUCUUCCAAUAUUAUUAAAAACUAAAUGGAAAAAAUAACCGAGGAAAAUAAUAUUUUUAUCGUGUGAAUUUGUUGAUUAUACAUAAGAGAAAAAAUAAAAGGAAAUGUGGUAAAAGUACGAUAAGAUAGUAAUAUAGUUACCAGUGAUCAUACGUCAGUCUUAAAAGUAUAAAUACGAGAAAUGAAAUAUCUUCCAAUAUUAUCAAAAACUAAAUGGAAAAAAUAACCGAGGAAAAUAAUAUUUUCAUCGUGUGUCUUUGUUGAUUAUAUAGGAGUGAGAAAAUUGAAGGAAACACGAUGGAAAUGUAACAAUCUUGCAGAUGUAUCGCUACAGGUGUACUAUCUGGCAAUAAUAAAUGCCUGUUAUAUGCACAAAUACGCAAUAGAAACAACGAUAACAGAUGUUACCUUUUUAUUGCCUCGUGGAUUCUCAUGCAGCACAAGCCGUAUCGGUCACGUAAAAAAUUACAAGUAUACUAGUGCAUAUCAUUGAAGAAACAAUCCGUAUUCUACAGCGAGUUGCGCAUACAAACCUACCUACAUACAAAUUUGUAUUUGUUGAAGCAUCAAUACGUGACUGAAUUUUUCAAUGAAUUGCUUUAUACCUCGUACCACGAGAAUGUACGUAUUUGAAUUUAUUUCUAUAAAACACUUUACAACCACGUGAAUAUCGGAUUGAAGAUACGAGUAUCAUGAUUUUAUUACUAUAGUUUGAAACAAGGCAGAAACGUUAAAAUAUUGAAAUAUAUACACAAAUAUACAUGUAUAUAUAUAAGAUAUAUUUACUUGUAGUGAACAUUCUGCAGUUUUUAUGUGUAUUUCCGAAUUGAUUGAGGUAUUUGUCGAAGUGGGUCUCACUUCUAGGAAAACUCUACAUUUUCUCUAGUGUUUAGUUUUUUUUUUUUUUUUGGAAGUAGUUUACAAUCAAUUCUCAUUGAGAAUUAUAAGUAAAUUAUUCUGGCGUGGUAUUAUAACGUGAAUAAUAAAUGAUUAUCGUAUGUUUGGUUCUAGCUGAAUCUAAUGUUUAAACCUAGAGGGUAAUGUGUCCUUAGCCUGCGGAUCUGAUCCGUCGUGUCGAGUAAUUGAGUAACUAGUAGGUUUUGGUGGCUGCUAAUUCUUAUGUUAUAUCUAUUACUGAAUUUGGAUAUUUCUUCUUUAACUGUAGGUAUCUUAAGGUCGCGACGUAUUGUUUCAUUGGUAACAUACCAAGGUGCAUCUAUUAAGGAUCUUAGAGCUUUUGAUAGGAAUCGUUGAAGAAUUUCUAUGUUGCAAUUACUCGCUCUUCCCCAUAGUUGGAUCCCAUAGAUUCAAACAGGUUUUAAUAUGGGUGUUUAGUUUUUGGCACAACGAUUCUCUUUACAGCGGCUUCUUUCGUGUCUAUCAUAUGUUGGCAACUAAGUGAUUGCGGAUUUUGUCAUUAGGUGGUAUUGACAAAAUCCGCAACCACUUAGUUGCCAAUCCCAUACUUUCAAACAUAGUUAUGAAUAAAAUGUCUGGUCUACAGUGUGACAAGAAAGGAAAGCUAAAUUUGUGACACGCGAAGCGAAAUUAAAAACACAAGUGUUCGCUUUGAUAUUACACUGAACAAGUUAUCUGCAAUCAUUUCUAUUUUACGUCGAAAACGAAGAUCGAAGAGAUACUUUUACCAACGUUGUAAGCUCGGAACAACAAGCGGCAAUUUUUUGUCGCGUUCUGCUUCUAUUGUAAAUAACCGUGCAGUGCAAAUGUUCUCAGUCACGCACAUUUUGCUCGUGCGUACCAACAAAUGCGAAUCGACAGCGCCCUGUCGAAUUAUUAAUAUCGUAUCGUUAAAAUUAAAAUCGAUUUCGAAAAAUACGAUCUUUGUACGCCCACAUACUACCCUCGUUUAUAGACAAAGCGUAUUAUUUACAAAUUCGCCUUUGAAAAUCCCACUAGAAUUACCUUAAUUAAUUGGUAAUUAAUCGCUUUGAGAAUUGGAAAUCAGAUACAGUAGAAUGUACAGUUUACAUUACAUUAACAUUACAGUAAUAUUACAGUAACAUUAUGGUUGGCUUGAAAAUGAAUUUUAAAAGAAGAAUUUUUGUACAUGCGUGUAUUUGCAAAUUGAACUUUUUAUUCUGUUCAAUAUCGAAUGUCAAAGUACGUAAUUCUUUUCUUAACAAACUCAUUCGAAGAUCGUUUGCAUUUUAUAAGGAUUAAAUUAAUGGAAUAUCGUUCAUUUGUAGUUUUAUUUGACUUGCAGUAAGCAUCGGUUUACGGAGAAAAUGUGUUGACAAAUUCGACUUUGGAAUGUGCAACUAAUUACUAAUUACUAAACCACGGACAUUUAUACAUUUUUGAGAAAUGAAAAAUCCCACAAAUCUACAGACUGCAGAUAAUAUGCAAAAAUAUAUUUAAAUAUAUAUAAUAUUAAAAAUAGAACGCUUACUGUGAUAUUUAGUAGACGAAAUAAAUUUCUAUUCACGUUCAAUUCCAUUCAAAUUAUGUUUACAAGGAUAGAAAUUUGCAUGGAACAUCCGUAGUCUAUUAAUUACUUAGAGAAUAAUACGAUAAUCAAGUGGACCAGAUGCAUCGAUCAUCCGACAGUUUGCCUAAACAGGAAAGUUAUGACCUAUAGUACUACAUUUAUUUCGAAUUGGCACGAUUGUUGCUGAUCUGCGAAACAAAACGUGCAGAAACUUAGCAACUACCCUUGUUCUCCUGACACAAUCCAAAGACUUCGCUAACUACCCUUGGCAGACUUUCAGUUUAAACAUUGAUGCAUUUAGCGAAGAAAUUAAUCUUCCAACGAUUGCUAACUCUGCUUUCAGAACGAGACAUCCUGCUAAAGUUCAGGAAAGAAUGUCACUUUUCGCUGCUACUUUAUCACCAUAUUGUGUUAUUAACUUUAUCCAAUUAGUUGUAUUAUUUUUUUUUGCUAUCCGCAAUUGAUAUUGUAUGUUUGUGCAACGAAAAUCUAACAUAUUUUUAUAGCUAUCUGUGUAAUCAUCUUUUCACUAAAAUCUUCGUAAAAUCGUUACAUAUUAUCUGGUCGAAUUCUAGCAAUUCUGUAAACGUGUUUUCGUAAUUGUAUUUUUAUUAGGUUGUCCGGAAAGUUUCUUUCGUUUCAUAAGAUGAUAAUAGAUGAACAAAAAUUUCUAUUUUAUAUUAUUUUAUUGAAUUAGGUGUGAUCCAUUUCGUUCUAUUUCUAUUAUUAUGUUCGUGCAUAAUUCAAUAAACUAAUAUAAAACGAAGAACAUUGUGCGUCUAUUAUUUCCUUAUAAAACGAAAGAAACAUUUCGGACAACCUAAUAUUACAAUCUUCAUUGCAUUCUAGUGUAACAUGAUUCAAGAACUGUUUUGGUUACAUCCAAAAAUCGUUAGAUUUCGAAGACUCAAAGGUACAGAAUUUAUUCAUAUUUUUGCAUAUAUCUGAUGAGCUUUUUAAUUAUAUCACUAGGAAUAUUUUCAUGUUUCCAAACGAUUUUCCUAUUUACCACGUCACUUUAUACUCUUUUCGUCUUCUCUGUCGUCUAGGUCAUUUAAAAUUAUUUGAAACGUAUGACGUAUCCCAACAUCUCAAAAACCUGGUAAAAUCCAGCAAAAGCUUCCAGAGAAUUGAAACUUAUUGUUCUAGACUUUCAGAAAUGCACUAUUUUUUCAGCUUUAGAGAACCAACAAUUGUAAUGGAUGAAUGAACGUUGAUAUUUUCAUGAAAAGUGUUGUAGCAAUUUGAUAUAACACGAUGCAGAAGCCAAUUGUUAAACAGCCAAGUAAUGACAAAUCUAUAAUUUAUCUAAAAUAUAUUUACAAAAUAAAUGUAUAAUAGGUUUCCUCUGUGAUAAAUACAAAACUCAUGCGAUAAACACUAUCGACUUUUAAAGUUUAGCAUAAGAUGAAAAGAUCACAAUAAGAUUUACAAGUACAGUGAUUAUAAUAUCGACGCAUAUCGCAUUUCUAUUGAGUUUUAUGUUCCAUCUGCAUGGCAUCACAUUUUUGCAGCCUUGUGAGGAUAUUGCUAGAUAUCACACAAUUUAAUGUACUUGGGCCUAAUUGAUUAGUAUGUGAUGCUAUACACUGGCGUGGUGAUACUCUUUGCAGCCACUGUAUCUACAGAAUAUCGGGUUUUAAUACUUCCGUGCAAUUAUUUCCUCAACUAUUCGCUAUCGAGAAAAUGUUGCAAAUGAAGCACCGUCUGUUCCAAAGUGGAUUACGGAUGGCUGCCAAUAAAUUACUGGAACAAGUUUCUAGGGGUUGGAACUAUUCAGGGUCAGAACGAACCAAUAUAUUGAUUGGCAAAGUUGUCCCCUGGAAUACGCAAGAUAAAGAACAAUUUCUAGGCAGUUAGCGAAAAGAGGUUUUAAACGUUAACCCUUGGCACUCUGAAUUUUAUUUCAAUUUCGUUACCAGCAGCUGCCGAAGCUUUCAAGUGUUUUGUUUGAAAUUUACUUUAACUAAAAAAUAGGACAAUUUAAAUAAAUAAAGGAAGAAAGAAAUUCACUUAAACAUCAGUUUUAUUCACACUAUUGUUGUAUUUUGUAAUUUUUAAGCGUACGAUAUAUCUUGAAAUAAUUUCCAGGAUACAAUCCUGGUUUUCUUUCGCACGUUUUACAAAAAAGGUGGGACAGAAAGAAUGUCGAGUUGGAAUCGAGAAAGGAGCUCCUGAGAUAAAAACUGAUAAAAACCAACAUAGGAGUGCAAAGGGUUAACAAAUAACGUUGAACUAUUAUUGACUGGUCGAAGGGCCAAUGUAUUUUUUACAAAUUAGCGUAUUCAUUUUUGCAAAAAAUGUCAUUUUCAUGUUUAGCUCGAUAGAAAUAUAUUUAAAAUCCUAGAGAAAUUUCAAUAGGAUAUUUUCCUCGAAACAGGGUAGGUUCUACUGUGUCCAUUUUUAAAUUUGUCGUAAUAUAUUAAAUAUAUUAUAACGUAUUAUAAUCUUAUUAAUAACAUAUAUCGAUGAGAUAUUAAUAAAAAAUUGACAAAUUCGUUUAUAUAAUUUCACAUCAUAAUACAAGACAAAACUAAAGAUACAGCAAAAGAAUGCUUUUUUUCGAAACCUGGAAACAAUGGACAUUUCUCCUAAAAUUGUGUUUUCGCCUGUGAAGAAAUAUAGACUCAACGUUAAUUCUGUUACGUUUUCAUUCAACGUUUAGUGGACCUUUUUCUACUUUUAAUUGCUUCUACUAAUUCGUUAGGUAUUUUAUUUUUUUUUUUUUUCUAAGUAGCACGAUAGUUUCUAAGGUAACUUCUGAUCGCAAAUUUUUCUCGCUAGAAUUCCCCACAGGUUCUCUAUCGGAUCAGGAAUGGAUGUUGGCCAUCGUAAUAAUUCUACCCGGAAAUGUUGAAACUAGUUUUUCCUAGCAGCGGCUGUACGAGUAGCCGCUGAAGUCUCGUUGAAAAAUUGUCUUUUAUCUUCUAUUUCGGCUACGAAAGGCAAUAAUUCGCCAUGUAACAUCUCCUGAUAUCCCAUAGCGUCUAAUUUAUUUAUUUACAAAAAUAAUUUCACUUAACGUAUCCAGAUACGAUCGAUGAUUUCUCAAAAAUGUUGAAGAAAUAAUGCGAAAAAAAUAUGUUUGAGUCUACGAUUAUUCACAGUGUUGUAUUUAAACAUAUAGAUAUAUGUUUAAAUACAAUUAAUUAAUUAAUUAAUUAAUGUUUAUAGAUUUGUUUAAUAAUCCCAUCUUUGUAAACAUGGCUGAAAAACAGUGUACAAGAACGAUAUACAUUAUUUUGCUAAUAUUUCAGCAACAUAUAUAUGUCGAAGAUGAAAGGAAAGCCGAAGCCUUUCCUUGGAAAUUUUGGGAACAUCCUCUAGUACUCUAGCCUAGAUUUCAUCAUAGCUGUAAUUGUUCGAGAUUUGUGAUAGCGAGAUUGGGUUCGAGGUGACAAUUGGUCGCCGAACGUAGCCAUGGUCACGGGAUGGACGUUUUGUCUAACGAAGGUCUGGAGUGGCUGUAUGGGUUUUCCGAGAAAUAUGGUUGUGGCGGCAUGCGGCCUCGGGAGCGGGCCUAGCUACGUGUGAUGUUGCCUCGGAGGUGCCGAUACAAUGGGACAUACAUUGUAUUAAUAAUCAAACUUCAGGCAGAAACUGCCUAGCAACGGCGUUUGGAACUUUCUCGAUGCUUCCAACGAGUGUGUAUCAAACUCCAGGCAGAAACUGCCUAGCAACGGCGUUUGGAACCUUCUCGAUGCUCCAAACGAGUGUAGAAAACAAAUGCAAUCGUACAGCGAGAAAAAUCUCCACGAGGUUGGCAUUCGUGCGAUCGCCCUGGAGAGUGACACAUCGAGCAUUUUCAACAAUCGUAUUUCUGUGCCUAAGAUUAGUUUACGCUUAGUAAAGAGUUAUCCCGUUGACCGUGGAUUUGUUUGAACCCAAAAACAUUGUUAAUAGCGUUCAUUAAACUUAUUAUUCGUAAAUCAUACUAUUCAUUAAACUUACUAUUCGUUAAACUUGUUAUUCAUUAGACUUAUUAUUUGUUAAACCUAUUAUUCGUACAAUUUAUUAUUCACUAACUUUAUUAUUCGUCAAACUUACUAUUCAUUAGACUUAUUAUUUGUUAAGCUUUGCGAUAGUCUUGUAUAUACGUGUAAAUAUAAUCUCGGCUUUGUGAAAGGAUGGCUAAUUCACGUGAAGAGUUGUUACGCGAAAAUUCCAAUCAUAACCCGACAUAUAUAUCAAUGCAGCGUUUUGCUUAAAUUUGUCGAGCCGUAUAUUCCACAGAAAUAUCUCAAAUGCAAAGAAAUAUGUUACGCGUGUGCAACGUGUGCAUGUUAUCAGAGAUUAAUAGCUACAUACAUCAGUGAUUUCUGUGAGAAAGUUCAUAGACCUGCUAUCACGCGUAAGUCUUGAUUGAACGAUUUCGAGGAAGAAACAUUCGACCUUCGAUCCUAAUAAAUCACAGUUAAACGUUUACGGUGCGGAUUCUCGUCGAGAGGAUACGAUCACGCAGUGAGAAACCGAAUCCGGAGCUGUACAAUUUAGAUAAAUUGUCUGGGUGGGCGCACAGGGGAGAACACGUGCGACCUCUAACACUGGCAUUGCAAUCUGCCCGCUGUAACUCAUGCUUUGUACAAGCACCUACUUCACCAACCUGUGAAUAUAGAAUUCCUUUUCUUUUCUUUUUCUUCUUUUUUCUUUUCUUUUUUUAACCGUUCGCGUUCUAUCAUGAGAAAUCCAUCGAGACCGCGAAAUUCUAUUUAUCGAAAACGUGACCAGCUUGCAACACAGCGAACGGAAGAAUAGAAGAACUAGCUUACUUUGGUUUUAUUACAUAAUUCUCCGUUAUCCGAUAGUUUUACGUAACAGUUUCAACGAUUUGUUUAAUGUUUCUCCUAAUCGCUAGAUUUUUUUACAUUUUUUAUUGUACGUGUAUAUACUGCAUUGGGAAAUUAAGUUUGAUUGACAUAAUUGAUUUAAAUAAUUUGAUAAUUUCAAUGUGUCAUAUUUCUCUAUUGAUUAAUUCAACAUUGCUAAUAAGAAUAAUUUCUCAUAUUUCUGUAUUAAUUAACCAUUUAAUGUCAACCGCAAUGUCUCAUAUUUCUCUAGUAAUUCAUUCAAUAACCUUGAUGAUAACAAUAAUUACUCGUAUCUCUGUUACAGUUAACUAUUCAAUGUUAGUAACAAUAUCUCAUAUUUCUCUAUUUAUUAAUUCAAUAACUUUGAUGCGAACAACGACAAUUCCUUAUAUUUCUGUAUCAAUUAACUCAAUACCUUCAACAGUAAAAAUAUUUCAUCUUCCUCUAUCGAUGAUGUAUCAUAUUCGAGGAAUGAAAAUAUAU
This is a long non-coding RNA of Bombus huntii, 11283 nucleotides long. RefSeq lists it as uncharacterized. The transcript is spliced from 3 exons. The record is from RefSeq and is a predicted model, not a curated record. NCBI's taxonomy places the organism in Eukaryota, Metazoa, Arthropoda, Insecta, Hymenoptera, Apidae.